AACGAACGCUGGCGGCAGGCUUAACACAUGCAAGUCGAGCGAGACCUUCGGGUCUAGCGGCGGACGGGUGAGUAACGCGUGGGAACGUGCCCUUCUCUACGGAAUAGCUCCGGGAAACUGGGAGUAAUACCGUAUACGCCCUUUGGGGGAAAGAUUUAUCGGAGAAGGAUCGGCCCGCGUUGGAUUAGGUAGUUGGUGGGGUAAUGGCCCACCAAGCCGACGAUCCAUAGCUGGUUUGAGAGGAUGAUCAGCCACACUGGGACUGAGACACGGCCCAGACUCCUACGGGAGGCAGCAGUGGGGAAUCUUAGACAAUGGGGGCAACCCUGAUCUAGCCAUGCCGCGUGAGUGAUGAAGGCCUUAGGGUUGUAAAGCUCUUUCAGCUGGGAAGAUAAUGUCGGUACCAGCAGAAGAAGCCCCGGCUAACUCCGUG
RNAcentral lists this ribosomal RNA (433 nucleotides) under uncultured bacterium. RNAcentral describes it as "partial 16S ribosomal RNA". It matches the Rfam family "Bacterial small subunit ribosomal RNA", at positions 29 to 507 of the family's 1533-position model. The record is from RNAcentral.